CACCAGGACCCCAUGAUCUUUUACAUAACCCAAACGAUGACAUAACAGGAUAUACUGGGCCCGGCAUUGCAGGUGUUCCUGAAUUCUCCGCCAACAGCUCAACACUUAUAAUUUGCGGCAAAUGCCACUGCACAUUUCCCUGGCAAGCUACAUUUUACGGCGAUAAAGUUGGCUGUACAUCUGACGUCAAAAAGUUCAGCUGCACGUGUACACACAAAAGCUGCAAUACCGGAAAGCUGGUGAAGUGCCUAAAUAACUUGGCAAAAGGGAAGUGUGUGUCAUAUCGGUACCACAUUGACUGCUUGGUUUCAAAUAAAAACACUGGUUGAUUUUGCA
Long non-coding RNA from Rhipicephalus sanguineus (brown dog tick), 336 nucleotides. RefSeq lists it as uncharacterized. The transcript has 2 exons. Lineage: Eukaryota; Metazoa; Arthropoda; Arachnida; Ixodida; Ixodidae. The record is from RefSeq and is a predicted model, not a curated record.